Molecule: long non-coding RNA, 537 nt
Organism: Brachypodium distachyon (stiff brome)
Lineage: Eukaryota; Viridiplantae; Streptophyta; Magnoliopsida; Poales; Poaceae
Exons: 3
Source: RefSeq, a predicted model, not a curated record
GUUCAGGCUGUUGGGGCUGCGCCCCGACGGCGGCGGCUUGGGCGGCUCGCCGGGCUUGGGCGGCAUCGCUGCUUUGCGGCCGCGCAGGGCUAUGCGUGCUCGUUCCUGUCUGUCUCCCGGACAGUGACCACGUGGAAAGAAGAUACAUGGCAGAUGUGGGCUAGAUGUACAUAUGCAUUUCACUGGAAAUGCUCGAUUCAUUGUCUAAAUAUCACAUCUGACAAACGGAGCUGUCGUGAAUGUUCAGGUGCUUGGGUCAGCACUCUUGAAGGUUAGGAGCUUGCUACGGUUUGAAUGGUUGCUCGGUGUAGGGAGUUUUGCCAACAGCUCAGCUUAUAUAUAACAGUUGGUCGGAGCUAAAGAAGAAAGAAACAAGGGCUUCUCGCUUCUCACUAAGCUAGGUAGGGUUUUAAUGUUUUACUGGCUCAUUUGUGUGGAAAGAAAAUGCUUGCUAGAGAUGUGGGUAAAUGACAAUCUUGUAUCUCGUUCAACAUGUACAUAUGCAUUUGACACAUAAAUGUUUGAUUCCUUGUACAA